Molecule: ribosomal RNA, 770 nt
Filed under: Klebsiella ornithinolytica
Lineage: Bacteria; Pseudomonadati; Pseudomonadota; Gammaproteobacteria; Enterobacterales; Enterobacteriaceae
Description: partial 23S ribosomal RNA
Rfam family: Bacterial large subunit ribosomal RNA
Source: RNAcentral
GGGACACGUGGUAUCCUGUCUGAAUAUGGGGGGACCAUCCUCCAAGGCUAAAUACUCCUGACUGACCGAUAGUGAACCAGUACCGUGAGGGAAAGGCGAAAAGAACCCCGGCGAGGGGAGUGAAAAAGAACCUGAAACCGUGUACGUACAAGCAGUGGGAGCCUACUUGUUAGGUGACUGCGUACCUUUUGUAUAAUGGGUCAGCGACUUAUAUUCUGUAGCAAGGUUAACCGUAUAGGGGAGCCGCAGGGAAACCGAGUCUUAACUGGGCGUUAAGUUGCAGGGUAUAGACCCGAAACCCGGUGAUCUAGCCAUGGGCAGGUUGAAGGUUGGGUAACACUAACUGGAGGACCGAACCGACUAAUGUUGAAAAAUUAGCGGAUGACUUGUGGCUGGGGGUGAAAGGCCAAUCAAACCGGGAGAUAGCUGGUUCUCCCCGAAAGCUAUUUAGGUAGCGCCUCGUGAACUCAUCUUCGGGGGUAGAGCACUGUUUCGGCUAGGGGGUCAUCCCGACUUACCAACCCGAUGCAAACUACGAAUACCGAAGAAUGUUAUCACGGGAGACACACGGCGGGUGCUAACGUCCGUCGUGAAGAGGGAAACAACCCAGACCGCCAGCUAAGGUCCCAAAGUCAUGGUUAAGUGGGAAACGAUGUGGGAAGGCACAGACAGCCAGGAUGUUGGCUUAGAAGCAGCCAUCAUUUAAAGAAAGCGUAAUAGCUCACUGGUCGAGUCGGCCUGCGCGGAAGAUGUAACGGGGCUAAACCAUG